ACGCACGCUGGCGGCGUGCUUAACACAUGCAAGUCGCACGGAAAGGCCCUGCUUGCAGGGUACUCGAGUGGCGAACGGGUGAGUAACACGUGGGUGAUCUGCCCUGCACUUCGGGAUAAGCCUGGGAAACUGGGUCUAAUACCGGAUAGGAGCCAUUUUUAGUGUGAUGGUUGGAAAGUUUUUUCGGUGUAGGAUGAGCUCGCGGCCUAUCAGCUUGUUGGUGGGGUAAUGGCCUACCAAGGCGGCGACGGGUAGCCGGCCUGAGAGGGUGGACGGCCACAUUGGGACUGAGAUACGGCCCAGACUCCUACGGGAGGCAGCAGUGGGGAAUAUUGCACAAUGGGCGCAAGCCUGAUGCAGCGACGCCGCGUGGGGGAUGACGGCCUUCGGGUUGUAAACUCCUUUCGCUAGGGACGAAGCUUUUUGUGACGGUACCUAGAUAAGUAGCACCGGCUAACUACGUG
This 464-nucleotide ribosomal RNA is filed under the name uncultured bacterium. Its description in RNAcentral is "partial 16S ribosomal RNA". It matches the Rfam family "Bacterial small subunit ribosomal RNA", at positions 29 to 507 of the family's 1533-position model. The record is from RNAcentral.